RNAcentral lists this transfer RNA (88 nucleotides) under Caudoviricetes sp. RNAcentral describes it as "tRNA-Ser". It matches the Rfam family "tRNA". Rfam says of the family: Transfer RNA (tRNA) molecules are approximately 80 nucleotides in length. The record is from RNAcentral. Lineage: Duplodnaviria; Heunggongvirae; Uroviricota; Caudoviricetes.
GGUGCUGUACCGAAGUGCUCAUAACGGCGUGGACUUGAAAUCCAUUGUGUCGAAAGACCCGCAAGUUGGAAUCUUGCCAGCACCGCCA